This 554-nucleotide long non-coding RNA is filed under the name Cricetulus griseus (Chinese hamster). Its description in RNAcentral is "lncRNA (ENSCGRG00015042934.1)". Lineage: Eukaryota; Metazoa; Chordata; Mammalia; Rodentia; Cricetidae. The record is from RNAcentral.
GGGGGCGGGGGCGAGCCGGCGCGUCAGUCAGUCCGCGGGGCGGGCAGCGCCGGCCGGGCACGCCGAGGGUCGCGAGCCCGCCGCCUGAUUGGAGGCGCCGCUUCCGCCGCCUGGAGCCGGGAGCUGGGAGCCGGCUCCUCCUCCGCACAGCCCCCCGAGUGGAAUGGACGGCGCGCGGUCCCGGCCCGCUCGCCCGCUCGCCCGCUGGUUCCCCCGCCUGCCCGCGAUCGCGCGCUCGUUCUGCAGCUUGCGGCCCAGGCAGGGGUUGAGCGAGGUUUCUCUCAUUCCUUCUCUGCUGUAGACUUCUGGAUUUCUGAAGGCACUGAAUGUUAUCACCAUCACACCUUAAGCAAGCCUGCACUGUCUUGAAAUCACCUUGCCUCCCUACAGGAGGUUUGACUUUUGUACAGAGCUGCAGUUGGCUGUGGUUUAGCUUGAUGGUGUUCAUAGCUGUCUUCUAGGGGAAAGAGUUCACUUUGGAAAGGACUGCUGACUUCACUGAAAGCUCCCCUUUUCAGCAACUAGAAGGAAGGUUUCCCAUCCCUGAAACUGCA